GCCAUGCAUGUGUAAGCGAAGCAUAUUGUGGAGCGGCGAAAGGCUCAGUAACGGGCGAUUUAUUUAUUCUUCUGUGACGGACAACACCGGGAAACUGGUGGGAAAACGUCUAUACUGCAGGAGUARAAUUCUGUGGUAGAAAGAUUUAUCUGUGGAAGAGUAAGAUGCCAUCCUAUCAGUUAGUAAGUAGGGUAAGGGCCUACUUAGACGAAGACGGGUACGGGGAAUGAGGGUUUGAUUCCGGAGAGGGAGCCUGAGAGAUGGCUACCAGGACCAAGGUCAGCAGCAGGCGCGAAAAUUAUCGAAGCCCACUUUGGGGCGAUAGUGAGGAGACGUAAAUAUGAUGUACGGGUAAAGAACGUACUAUAAACUGGAGGUCAAGUCUGGUGCCAGCAUCCGCGGUAAUUCCAGCUCCAGGGGUGUCUAUGAUGAUUGCUGCGAUUAAAAAGUCCGUAGUCUAGCCGCACGACCAGUCUGGAAUGUUUCUGAUCAAAAGAAGAGCAGGGCUGGGAAGGCGGAGAAUUAGGAGCGACCAGGGGCUAGAGUAUUGAAUGGCGAGAGGUGAAAUUUGAUGACCCAUUCAGGAGUGACAAAGGCGAAGGCACUAGUCAAGGGCGAAUCCGAUGAUCAAGGACGUAGGCUAGAGUAUCGAAAACGAUUAGAGACCGGAGUAGUUCUAGCAGUAAACUAUGCCGACUUUGUGGCAGAGRUAUCUGUUGCAAACGAGAAAUCUUAAGUAAGGCUUUGGGGAGAGUACGCGCGCAAGCGAUAAAUUUAAAGGAAAUUGACGGAGGAACACCACAAGGAGUGGAGUGKGCGGGUUAAUUUGACUCA
This 834-nucleotide ribosomal RNA is filed under the name Dictyocoela cavimanum. Its description in RNAcentral is "partial small subunit ribosomal RNA". It matches the Rfam family "Microsporidia small subunit ribosomal RNA", at positions 47 to 836 of the family's 1311-position model. The record is from RNAcentral. Lineage: Eukaryota; Fungi; Microsporidia.